RNAcentral lists this ribosomal RNA (497 nucleotides) under uncultured bacterium. RNAcentral's name for it is "partial 16S ribosomal RNA". It matches the Rfam family "Bacterial small subunit ribosomal RNA", at positions 28 to 507 of the family's 1533-position model. The record is from RNAcentral.
GAUGAACGCUGGCGGCGUGCCUAAUACAUGCAAGUCGAGCGAACGGACGAGAAGCUUGCUUCUCUGAUGUUAGCGGCGGACGGGUGAGUAACACGUGGAUAACCUACCUAUAAGACUGGGAUAACUUCGGGAAACCGGAGCUAAUACCGGAUAAUAUUUUGAACCGCAUGGUUCAAAAAUGAAAGACGGUCUUGCUGUCACUUAUAGAUGGAUCCGCGCUGCAUUAGCUAGUUGGUAAGGUAACGGCUUACCAAGGCAACGAUGCAUAGCCGACCUGAGAGGGUGAUCGGCCAAACUGGAACUGAGACACGGUCCAGACUCCUACGGGAGGCAGCAGUAGGGAAACUUCCGCAAUGGGCGAAAGCCUGACGGAGCAACGCCGCGUGAGUGAUGAAGGUCUUCGGAUCGUAAAACUCUGUUAUUAGGGAAGAACAUAUGUGUAAGUAACUGUGCACAUCUUGACGGUACCUAAUCAGAAAGCCACGGCUAACUACGUG